Long non-coding RNA from Meriones unguiculatus (Mongolian gerbil), 1479 nucleotides. RefSeq lists it as uncharacterized. The record is from RefSeq and is a predicted model, not a curated record. The transcript is spliced from 3 exons. Lineage: Eukaryota; Metazoa; Chordata; Mammalia; Rodentia; Muridae.
GAGAGGUUGUGGUAGGUCGUUGGUUGAAGUUUAAGUAGUCAUGUGCAAAGAAGAAACAACAACGAGAAGAAUUCACCUUCACCUCGUGGUGAAGAGCCAACUUGCCCCAGGGAACUGAACGCCUCUAAUCAGCAGCUACGGAGAGAGCAGAGAGCGGACUGUGAGUUACUACCUGCACUGUCUUCGAGCCCAGCCGGAGGCCUGCAGAACCAGCCGGCCCACUUCUCAGCACCAUCCAGGGAAGGGGACUCAGGCAGCUGGACGGGCCACCUGCAGCCUCUGCUCUUCCUGGCAGUGAAGCCUGCUGGUGCCAGAGCCAGCAGGGGAGGCCACACAGCAGUCCUGGACCUCAUUUUUGCUGCCCCCUCCCUGCCCUCCCAGCCAUGAAGAGAAACAGUGGAUACUCAGAAGAUGAAUCACAGACGCUGCUAUGCUCUCCUGCCCCUGUGGAUGAGCAUGCCAGACCCCAGGAAAGAACCUCAGGUUUCCUUUAGCUCCACGUACAAAAACCAAGCUCCGAGCAUCUUACUCAGAAAGACCAAACUGGAAAUGGAGUCAAAAUUUGUUCUUUGCAAGCCACCAUCAUGUUUUUUUAUUUCUCUUCCUCAGGGGUAGUGAAUCCGGGGAUUCACUAAUACUAAGAAGGCCUUCUAUUACUCAGGCACACCUCAAGCCGUUCAGCCCAUCUUUUAAAAGAAAUUUAACCAAGUAGCCCGAGAUGGCUCAGCAGUUAAGAGCCCUGACUGUUCCUGAAGAGGACCCCGGGUUGAUGCCCAGUAUCCACCUGGUAGUUGUUUGCAGUUCCAGGGCUCCAGACAACCAUCCUCUUCUGAACCGGAGCACAUGGCCCACAGACAAACAUGCAUGCAAAACAGCCGCACGCAUAAAACAGUUCAUCUGCGAGUGGGAGCUGUAUGACUAGGGUACUCGGUUUUUCCCCCCGAAGCACAAUGGUUAAAGGGGGAAGGGGCUCACACCACCUUUGACAAAGAGGACGCAUCUGGCCAGAGCAGUUACCCGCUCUUUCCCCAGCGACGGACCUCUGAGAUGCUCCUCAGGCCACCUAGGAAGUUGUACGCGCUUCAGAAGUACAGCUGGGGGAGCAGAGAGUAAAGCCCGCCACCCCGGACCCCGGAGGAGAGCACAAAGUCUAGCCUAGCCUCGCGGUCCCCCGGUCGGCGACCGUCCGGGACUUGGCUCUGCGCGCGCUUCCCUCCGAGAUCAAUAACCCGCACCCUCCGCCCAGGCCGCCAAAUCCCCCCACUUCGACCUUUCCUCCCGCCACCCCCCAAAAGCACGUGCGGAUGCGGGGAAAGCAGUCCCGGGGUCCGGGGGUCCGGUGCCUUGUUCACCCGGAGAGGCCCUCCCGCGCUCGCAGCCCACACCGUCCCGAGCAGCCCGGGCUCCGCAGCCCGCGCGGGUCCCGCCGGCCGCGGCCCCCUCGCGGGCGCCGCCGCCCCCGCCACACUCACAAGGUGU